AGAUCCCUGGAAGCCAGGAAUUGCAGCCAUGAUCAGCAUGCUGCCGAGAGCGCAAACCUUGGCACGGCUCAAAACCAAAUAGUCUGAAUCCGCUAUUUAUCUUAUGGCAGGGCUUGGGAAAGGAGGCAAGAAGAGUUCAUCAGAGCUAAGAUGUAGACAGAUUACAUGGGAGAGUGUGAGCUGAAAGAGCAGUUGUCAGAGAGCUCAGAAGUAUUAAGACUGUCUCAGGAAGCUCUGCUUGGUCCACAGGGCUUGGAGGAGGUGCUCAAGGUAGACAGUUGGGUGAAUGCUGAGAAUGGGCUGGUUUCUGUGGAACUGGAAGCAGCUAUGGACUAUCUACCACGAAGGAGUCUCUUGAGGCUGUCCUCUUUAAUAUUCAGAUGCAAAUACAUUCAUUCAGCUGGUAUUGUGCAAAACAGAAGAUAGUGAAUAUGCAGAGUACAACCACGUUGUAGUGACUUGACUUUGAAUUGCACAAGUAGCAACGAGUGGCUGAAAAGCUGCAAAGGAGAUACUGAGUGUCUGCAUCUUUGUCCCACGGCAGUGAUGGGGCCUUCAUUUGCAGUGGGGGGCCAUGCUGGCCUUCUGAACCUGCUCUGCCCGCUCAGAUACUGAAGAUGGAAACACAAACCAGUGUGACUGGUGGGUGAGGUAAGCUGUGCUUCUCACAAACAGCUGGAUUAUAUAAAAUAGAUUCCUGCCUUUACUUGGUCCUUGCCUGAUUGAUUACCUGAUCUAAGUGAGCAACCAUUAGAUGGUUUUCA
Molecule: long non-coding RNA, 764 nt
Organism: Athene cunicularia (burrowing owl)
Lineage: Eukaryota; Metazoa; Chordata; Aves; Strigiformes; Strigidae
Exons: 4
Source: RefSeq, a predicted model, not a curated record